GACGAACGCUGGCGGCGUGCUUAACACAUGCAAGUCGAACGGAAAGGCCCUGCUUUUGUGGGGUGCUCGAGUGGCGAACGGGUGAGUAACACGUGAGUAACCUGCCCUUGACUUUGGGAUAACUUCAGGAAACUGGGGCUAAUACCGGAUAGGAGCUCCUGCUGCAUGGUGGGGGUUGGAAAGUUUCGGCGGUUGGGGAUGGACUCGCGGCUUAUCAGCUUGUUGGUGGGGUAGUGGCUUACCAAGGCUUUGACGGGUAGCCGGCCUGAGAGGGUGACCGGCGACAUGGGGACUGAGAUACGGCCCAGAAUCCUACGGGAGGCAGCAGUGGGGAAUAUUGCACAAUGGGCGGAAGCCUGAUGCAGCAACGCCGCGUGCGGGAUGACGGCCUUCGGGUUGUAAACCGCUUUCGCCUGUGACGAAGCGUGAGUGACGGUAAUGGGUAAAGAAGCACCGGCUAACUACGUG
This 468-nucleotide ribosomal RNA is filed under the name uncultured bacterium. Its description in RNAcentral is "partial 16S ribosomal RNA". It matches the Rfam family "Bacterial small subunit ribosomal RNA", at positions 28 to 507 of the family's 1533-position model. The record is from RNAcentral.